UGAGGAGGUCGAGACCUCCGCUACCUCCGGAUCCAGUGAGGUCCGUGAGUUGAGGGGCCAGCUUGCGGCCCUCACUGAUUUAGUCACUCAGUAGGCGGAGGCGGCCCGACAGCAGACUGAGGCGGCGCGCCGACAGGAGGCGCGGAUGAAGCGCCUGGAGGACCUUCUACUGCAGCAGGCAGCAGCUUCUAGGGAGACUCAGGUCCCUACACCGCCAGCACCAGUUGUGGACGUCGCACCUAGAGCGUCGUCCCCCGCGCCCAGUUCUUCGCAUGCGGUGCCUGUGGCCGCACCCCAGGAGGAGGUUUUGGUGGCACCACCUGUGCAGAGGCCCCCGGUUGGAGCUGCAUUUCCUACCUUGGUUGAGGGGGCGGAGCGAGACAGACUGAUGGAGUGCCUCAAUGAGUUCAGGAGGUGCAGUCCCCGAGUCUUCGACGGCGAGAAGGUCGACCACUAGAUCGUGGAGAAGUGGUUAAUGUAUAUGGAGAAGCUCUUCCGCGACACCUUCGUGGAGGAGAGGGAUCGAGUUUGGCUCGCCACUCACCACUUGGAC
Molecule: long non-coding RNA, 553 nt
Filed under: Ananas comosus (pineapple)
Lineage: Eukaryota; Viridiplantae; Streptophyta; Magnoliopsida; Poales; Bromeliaceae
Description: long non-coding RNA (ACOM_LNC033217)
Source: RNAcentral